GGUUAAUAAGCUUUAGAUAGGGUUGUCUGCUGGCUCGCAAGGGCAUGUGCACGCCUGUCUCAUCCACUCUCAACUUCUGUGCACUUUUCAUAGGCCGGCUUGUGGGUGCGUUCGCGCACUUGUAGGUGUCGGGCUUAUGCUUUACUACAAACGAUUCAGUUUUAGAAUGUCAUACUUUGCUAUAACGCAAUUAUAUACAACUUUCAGCAACGGAUCUCUUGGCUCUCGCAUCGAUGAAGAACGCAGCGAAAUGCGAUAAGUAAUGUGAAUUGCAGAAUUCAGUGAAUCAUCGAAUCUUUGAACGCACCUUGCGCUCCUUGGUAUUCCGAGGAGCAUGCCUGUUUGAGUCUCAUGGAAUUCUCAACCUUCAGCUUUAUUGAUGAAGGCUUGGACUUGGAGGUCGUGCCGGCUCUCGUAGUCGGCUCCUCUGAAAUGCAUUAGUGCGAACGUUACCAGCCGCUUCAGCGUGAUAAUUAUCUGCGUUGCUGUGGAGGGUAUUCUAGUGUUCACGCUUCUAACCGUCUUCGGACAAAUUUCUGAACUCUGAGCUCAAAUCAGGUAGGACUACCCGCUGAACUUAAGCAUAUCAAAGGGCGGAGAGAGAG
RNAcentral lists this ribosomal RNA (605 nucleotides) under Agaricomycetes sp. EF11. RNAcentral describes it as "eukaryotic LSU rRNA". The stretch from base 199 to 352 matches the Rfam family "5.8S ribosomal RNA". Lineage: Eukaryota; Fungi; Basidiomycota; Agaricomycetes. The record is from RNAcentral.